RNAcentral lists this ribosomal RNA (250 nucleotides) under uncultured bacterium. RNAcentral describes it as "partial 16S ribosomal RNA". It matches the Rfam family "Bacterial small subunit ribosomal RNA", at positions 524 to 773 of the family's 1533-position model. The record is from RNAcentral.
UACGAAGGUCCCGAGCGUUGUUCGGAAUCACUGGGCGUAAAGGGAGCGUAGGCGGCGUGGCAAGUCAGAUGUGAAAUCCCGGGGCUCAACCCCGGAACUGCAUCCGAUACUGCCAUGCUCGAGGAUUGGAGAGGUAGCUGGAAUUCUUGGUGUAGCAGUGAAAUGCGUGGAUAUCAAGAGGAACACUCGUGGCGAAAGCGAGCUACUGGACAACUCCUGACGCUGAGGCUCGAAGGCCGGGGGAGCGAAA